UAAGUUCCGACCUGCACGAAUGGCGUAACGACUUCCCCGCUGUCUCAAAUGUGGACUCAGCGAAAUUGAAUUUCCUGUCAAGAUGCAGGAUACCCGCGGUUAGACGGAAAGACCCCAUGCACCUUUACUGCAACUUAACAUUGGUACUGGGUAAAUGAUGUGUAGGAUAGGUGGGAGACAUUGAAGCGGGUUCGCCAGGAUUCGUGGAGUCACUGUUGAAAUACCACCCUUUAUUUACUUGGUAUCUAACCCUGUUAGACAGGGGACAUUGUUUGGUGGGUAGUUUGACUGGGGUGGUCGCCUCCAAAAGGAUAACGGAGGCUUCCAAAGGUUCCCUCAGUACGCUUGGUAACCGUACGAGGAGUGCAAUAGCAUAAGGGAGCUUGACUGUAAGGCCGACAAGCCGAGCAGGGUGGAAACACGGGUAUAGUGAUCCGGCGGUUUUGAAUGGAAGAGCCGUCGCUCAAAGGAUAAAAGGUACGCUGGGGAUAACAGGCUGAUGGUGCCCAAGAGUCCAUAUCGACGGCACCGUUUGGCACCUCGAUGUCGGCUCAUCUCAUCCUGGGGCUGGAGCAGGUCCCAAGGGUACGGCUGUUCGCCGUUUAAAGCGGUACGUGAGCUGGGUUUAGAACGUCGUGAGACAGUUCGGUCCCUAUCUACCGUGGGCGUUGGAAAUUUGAGAGGAUCUGCUCCUAGUACGAGAGGACCAGAGUGGA
Molecule: ribosomal RNA, 716 nt
Filed under: Heterosigma akashiwo
Lineage: Eukaryota; Raphidophyceae; Chattonellales; Chattonellaceae
Description: partial Bacterial large subunit ribosomal RNA
Rfam family: Bacterial large subunit ribosomal RNA
Source: RNAcentral